GAGACCCACGCCCACAGUUGCCAGCGUACUCUCCGGAGUGACGGGUACACUGUGGGGACCGCCGCUGCUAAAGCGGAGGAAGGAAUGGGCAACGGUAGGUCAGUAUGCCCCGAAUAUCCCGGGCUACACGCGAGCUACAAUGGUUGGUACAAUGGGUAUCUACCCCGAAAGGGGACGGAAAUCUCCUAACGCCAAUCUUAGUUCGGAUCGAGGGCUGCAACUCGCCCUCGUGAAGCUGGAAUCCAUAGUAAUCGCACAUCAACAGUGUGCGGUGAAUAC
This 279-nucleotide ribosomal RNA is filed under the name uncultured archaeon. RNAcentral describes it as "partial 16S rRNA". It matches the Rfam family "Archaeal small subunit ribosomal RNA", at positions 1047 to 1325 of the family's 1478-position model. The record is from RNAcentral.